UCCACCCCCAUCGUUCAGUCCAGAUGCUGAGCUCCAGCUCCGAGGGUCUUCUGGCAAUUCCCUCACUGUGAGAACUAAGGUUACAGGAAAACAGGCAGAGGGCCUUCUCGGUAGUGGCGCCCGCCCUGUGGAACACCCUCCCGUCAGGUGUCAAAGAGAUAAGUAACUACAGCGGUACCUUGGUUCCUGAACGGCUUAGUUGUUGAACAAAUCAGCUCCCAGACGCCGCAAACCCAGAAGUUCUGGUUUGCGAACGUUUUUCAGAAGCCGACCGUCCAACACUGCUUCUGCUUGAGUGCCGGAAGCUCCUGCAGCCAAUCAGAAGCUGCACCUUGGUUUUCGAACGGUUUUGGGAGUUGAAUGGACUCCCAGAACGGAUUACGUUUGAGAACCAAGGCACCACUGUAUACAACUUUUAGAAGACAUCUGAAGGUAGCCUUGUAUAGAGAAGUUUUCAAGGUUUUGGUAUUUUAUUAUGUUUCUGUAUAUGCUGGAAGCCACCCAGAGUCAGUCAGAUCAGUGGGGUCGUAUUAUUAUUAUUAUUAUUAUUAUUAUUAUUAUUAUUAUUAUUUAGGACAAGGGCCAUGGUGGUUUCCACAGCAGCUGGAAGGAAGCAUCCGACUCAGAUCUUUUCCAUGCUCAGAGAGGGAGACUUCCCCUGUCCCCUGGGAUGGGACCUUAGGAUUGUAAGACCCAAGCAGUGACGUUUCUGUUAGUGUGUUUGACGGUUGGCAAUGUGAUCUUGAAGCUUUUAGGAACGUAGAGCGGGCAAAAGAAAUCAUAGAGGCAAUUUUGUACAGAUUAAACUCUCCAGUAGGAAUAAGCCGAUAAACAAAAGUAGCUGUGGUAACCCGGCAUCACCUCAACCGAUAUUUUAAGUAAUAUUCAUUUUGGAAUGCCCUAAAGGUAAGGCUAAACAUUUUAAGUCUCAAUGGCUUACUUUGUUAAUGUGUUUUAUUGCUUUCCGUUGUGAAGAGUUGUUUUCUAAUUAUUAGAAAAGUAUUAAAUGGGCCACCCUCGUCAGGAAUAUUAAGGCUAUGUUUUAUUCAUGAGCAAACCGGCUUCAUUAACGGCUGAUAUUGUGCUGUGCUCACUAAUUCGGCUAUCUCCAUAUGCACCAAAUCCAGCAACCUCCAGUCACUGCUGUUUUCUGUGAAAAUGUUUUCCACUAAAAAAGUCUGAAAAGAAUUGUGGCAUUUGACAUUUUUGUUGAUUUGAGAAUUCACGCUCCAUCCAGAAUGAAGUUGAGCACUGGGAUCAUCAUGAAAAUGUACUCUCUGCGACAUUACUGCCCAAACUUGCUCUCCAAGAUCAAGCUGUGCAAAAACAGAAAGCUUACAGUGGAAACUGGCAUGCUACAGCACUAACUGGCUGGUGCCUGUGCCGUCAUGAACUCACCUCCCAUUCCCAGGUGCAAUUUUUAAAAUUGUUUCAGAAACAAGGCAACUU
Podarcis raffonei (Aeolian wall lizard) is the source of this 1449-nucleotide long non-coding RNA. RefSeq lists it as uncharacterized. The transcript is spliced from 2 exons. The record is from RefSeq and is a predicted model, not a curated record. NCBI's taxonomy places the organism in Eukaryota, Metazoa, Chordata, Lepidosauria, Squamata, Lacertidae.